CCUACGGGAGGCAGCAGUGGGGAAUAUUGCACAAUGGGCGCAACCUGAUGCAGCCAUGCCGCGUGUAUGAAGAAGGCCUUCGGGUUGUAAAGUACUUUCAGCGGGGAGGAAGGGAUUAAGGUAAUAACCUUAGUCAUUGACGUUACCCGCAGAAGAAGCACCGGCUAACUCCGUGCCAGCAGCCGCGGUAAU
Molecule: ribosomal RNA, 192 nt
Filed under: uncultured Citrobacter sp.
Lineage: Bacteria; Pseudomonadati; Pseudomonadota; Gammaproteobacteria; Enterobacterales; Enterobacteriaceae
Description: partial 16S ribosomal RNA
Rfam family: Bacterial small subunit ribosomal RNA
Source: RNAcentral